GCGUAAACGAUGUUUACUACGCUCACAUGCUUGUCACGUGAAAUGAUUAAGCUCGAAAGUCCGAUUAUAAAAGGAAGAAGAUAUUAAGGAGGAAGGAAAAAUUAAAAAUCUCUUUUUAAGUAAAUGAGAAAUACUUUAUGGCAUUUAAAUGCAGCAUGGCAGAGGUGGCAGUGAAUUUAAAAUCCGUUUGCGACAAGAUAUCGUAUGCUGCCGCGAAGAGAGCACCGGAGUAUCAAUAUUAUGAGCCGCGACUGGUAGCUGUUAGCAAAUUGCAAUCCACGGGAUCGAUAGUAUCUGCAUACGAGGCCGGUCAGAGACAUUUUGGUGAAAAUUAUGUGAACGAAUUGGUGGAGAAGGCCUGCAGCCCCUUGAUCGUUGAAAAAUGCAGAGAAAUUCAAUGGCAUUUUAUAGGGACUUUACAAAGGAAUAAGGUCAACAAGGUGUUAAGUAUACCAAAUUUAUACGUUAUAGAAAGUGUCAAUAGCGACAAACUUGCAAACACGCUCAAUAAUUCAUGGCCAAGAUUUCGAAAGAGCGAUGACAGCAAGUUAAAUGUCAUGGUACAAGUUAAUACAAGUCAAGAAGAAGAAAAAAAUGGUUGCGAUAUUGCACAAGUAUCAACCCUUGUAAAGUAUGUCAUAGAGAACUGUCCCAAUUUGAAAUUUAUGGGAUUGAUGACGAUAGGAAUGUAUGGGUAUGAUGUUGCGAAUGGGCCAAAUCCUGAUUUUAUUUGUUUAAAGAAAUGCAGGGAAAAGGUGCGCGACGAAUUGGGAAUCGAUAUAAAAGAUAUUGAAUUAUCAAUGGGAAUGUCCAGUGAUUAUGAACAUGCUAUUGAAUUAGGCAGUACAAAUGUGAGAGUAGGAACUUCCAUUUUUGGAAGUAGACCACAAAAGAGUAAUUGAAAAGAUGCAAUAUAAAUAAUGUAUUAAAUCAAUAAUUUUACCUCGAGGAAAAAGGAUAUAUAAAAGAACAGGGAUGUAAUUAUCUCAGAGAUAUGAGCAUGAUUCAAAUGUAUCUUGUGCAAGGUCACGAAUUACGCAAGUUAAACGCUCUUAAAAGUUAUGGAAGUCAGUCAGUCAGUCACUUUCUUCGCAAAAUCACAGGCCGUACGCAACAUUGUUCGCCCGAUCGAUCAAAAUUGAAGCUAUGUUUUACAGAGAUGCGAAGAAUAAAAAAAAAAGCUUACGUGACGAAAGUUACUAAAUAUUUUGGGACAAAUUUUCUGCUGCAAUUUCUGUUCCAUGAAAUUAUGGCGGAAAUCAGUAGCUAUUUAAUUUUGGAAGAUAUAGCUUAGUCUUUUAAAAUGUGUUUAGAACGAUAUUACGUAUUCUUCGAUGUUAAACACAUAUAAUUAGGUGCAAUUUUAUUUGCAACCGGCGUUUCCAAAAAAUCUAAAAAACUUUGUAAGAGAUAAUAUUUUCUGGAUUCUAGAAAAAUGUCACAAUUAUUUCUAAAAGUAACGUGAAAUUUAAAAGAUAUUUCUCGUGAGUACACUUUUCUUAAGUGCCCCUCCGCACAUGUUGCAAACAACAACUACGUAAGAAAAAAAUAAGUUGCCCCUAUAAAUGUUAAUAAAGAGACGGAUCCGGUGCAACUUGACGUAAGCUUGCAUCAGACAAUCGUAAAUGAGGAGAUUGGUGCAUACUAUGUAGUCUCUGUCGUAAUAUUCAUAAUGCGAAGCACGAGACAUGCAUCGACAUACAUUGCAGUUUAACAUAAAUUUAAAAGUGACAUGGGCAAUCAAGUUAUAUGUAUCAUACAUACUUCGAUAUGCGUGUGUAUGUAAGCAACUUUGCAGUCGAUAUUGUUAUCUUUCUCAUGAUUUAACGAAAUAGAAUUCAAAUUUAUUGAUAUACAGAUGCAUUUUUUUUUUGCUUCUUACAUUUUUUUACGUUUUAAAAUAAAUAAUAAAAUUAUACAAUGUUAUCGUAUUAAUUGUGUUCUCAUGGUUCAUAAGAAAAGAUAGCAACUAUAUGUGUGCAAACUUGUUUGAUACACUAUCGAAAAAAUUUUUAAGUGACGGUACGUAAAAAGUAUAAGCGGUAGAACUUGAAUGAAUCGAUUAUAAUCGAGUAUUCUCGAGAAUUUAAAUUUAAUUUUUAAAAAUAUAUGUAAUCAUAUAUCAUCAAUACGUACUUGUGAUUCUCUUAUAAUUUAAGUUUUGCGUUUUUAAAUCUUUUAUCAAUCUGUACUACAAAUGCAAUGUGAAUGUUAGUAUAUGAGAAAAGUUUUGACGUAUAUUGCAGAAAGAAAAAUUCACCUACGAUUUCUCGCUUCUGAUGUCAUAGUGGAACACGGUUGCACCGAGAAAACAGAAGCCGAUUAAUACCGAUCAUCGAAGGCGGAAAAUGUAUUCAUGGCUUAAGAUAUAAAACUUUACUACUAUGUGAUGCAAUAACGCCUUACUGUGAACAUAGAAUGCAUACUCGUACAAAGAAGUUUUUGGGAAAAAAUGCACCACGCACACUAGACAGGUUUUCUGUAGCAUGGGUAUAAAUAGGCUUAGAUUUAGACAGAGCAUUCAAUCCAUUCUUCGUGUUUCAACGGGAAAUAGGAAAGCAUCAUGUUCAAACUCCUGGUGAUCUUCGGCCUUUUGGCCAUCACAAAUGUCUACGCCGGCUUGCUCGCUGCACCGGCUAUUGCUGUGAAACCAGCUGCCGUCGCCAUCGCUCCUACUGCCGCGUGGGGUGCUCCUGCCGCCGCGUGGGGUGCUCCUGCUGCCGCGUGGGGUGCUCCGGCCGCCGCGUGGGGUGCUGCUCCUGCCGCCGCGUGGGGUGCUCCUGCUGCCGCGUGGGGAGGUGCUGGUCUUGGACUUAAGCUAGGCUAGAUUUUUUUUUACGUUCAAUGAGAUAUAAGAAACCCGCCGCCAAUCCACCAGCAACUACACAUCGCAGAAUUUACCUUGCCCUUAAUAUUGGAUAUACAAUUCGCUGAUGCAUCUCUCACUUCUCCCUAAAGUCAAUCUUCACAAAAUUGUUUUCUUUUUCUAUUAGGACGUUUCUUCCCCCAUUCCUUGAAAUUUGUUGACAAAUUAUUGAUAAACGCGAAAAAAUAUGAAAUAAUACAAUUUUACAUAUAAAAAAACUUGGGUGUUAUUCAAUCUCGCAGAAACCAUUUUACCCCCGGCGCAGCGGCGCCUCUAUUACAAAUUAAACUCUAUCGUAACGACAUGUUGCGAUAGCUUCUGCCGUAUAUCAUCCCCUUAUGAUAAUUAAGAAACGAAUAGACUUAUGGAUCUAAGGACUAUGGGGGUUGAAAAAUCAAGCUUUGAUUAAGAGUGAAGUACAAUUUUAUUGCGUAACCACCUACAUUGUAGUGUCAUUAAUUUGCCACGUACAGAAGUGGUUACAGAUGUCGAGGAUGUUUGAAUAAAUAUAUAUAUAUGUAUCAUGUAAA
Molecule: RNA transcript, 3396 nt
Organism: Temnothorax curvispinosus
Lineage: Eukaryota; Metazoa; Arthropoda; Insecta; Hymenoptera; Formicidae
Gene name: pyridoxal phosphate homeostasis protein
Exons: 6
Source: RefSeq, a predicted model, not a curated record